UUCUUUCCUGAAUUAAUAAAUACUAUACAAAACAAUGUAAAAAAAAGAAAACAAACAAAAACACAAAAAAACAAAUACCAAAAAAUGCAUAUAAUUCUGCUUCCUCAAUAGGAAUGAGUUGAAAUGUUCCCUGAGUCCUCAAGUCUGGAGUUUUUCAAGAGCGAGGGAAGUAGUUAACUAGUGGAACACUGUGUGUGAAUCCAGGGCUCUGUAAGAUCACACAAUACACAUAGGAAAUAGAAACUGGUAUUUGUGGCAAGAUGUGUAUGGGGACCAGAAAGACAACACCAUAAAAUAAAUUGCUUAUCAUGUUUUACUUUAUUCUGAAAUCAAUGAUGGGUCACUGAUGACUUUCCCAAGCAGGAGAGGGGUAUGUUCUGAUUUGCAUUACGAUAAAUGAUUCUGCCUUAUAAUAUGGAGGAUAAGCAGAAGGGGCUCAUGUGAAGGAAAGGAGGCCACUUAGACUGUGACUAAAAUAACUGAAAUAAUAAAUAAUACAGGCAUGUACAAAGAUUGUCAGUGAGGCGGGAGAAGAAAAUACAGAUUCAAGGACUAUUAAGACUCAGAUUUUGCCCCUGAUUCAGGCCAUGGUCAUACACAGGCAAAAUGGGAACAGAGGCAGGUUUGGGGACAAGCAGGAGAAGGGGAACAAUGUUGAUAUGUUUGGUUUUAGCCUUUCUGCAUCUCUUGUUCUUAUGGUACUUCCAGAUGGAUAGUUCUAGAAAACUAUAGACCUUGUGUUUAGGAUGGAUGUCUACACUAGAGAUACACAGCUGAGAAACAGCAGCAAAAUCUUUUUAGCUGACUCUGAUAUUAAAUACAAAUUUCAAAACAGAUUCUUGAAGAGAAAGUAAAAAAGUGAGAACUAUUGUAAUUUAACCCUCUAAAAUUAUCUAGAUGAUAUUUUAGUGCUAUCAAGGGCAUUACUGAGAGGUUUUACAGAAUUCUGGAAAGCUGGAGCACUAACUGAAUAUUUUUCUACCCAAAGUGUGUCUUGAUUUUUGUUUUAAUAAAGAAGAGCCCUUUAGUUAUUAGUGUUUCCUUAAGUGGUAGUGAAUGGAUGGGUAGUCUACAUUCCCUCAUUAUGGAGUGUGAGCCGUAGAAAAACAGUCUCAGCAUGAUCUGAGCUUCUCCAGUUUGACAAUAUCACCUGCAGUUGGGCCCGGGGCUCUAAAGCCAUCUGUGUCAAGAUUCCAGGCACCUACUCCUGCUUUUUGUGUGGUGGACAUAUGUGGCAUGUGUAUCUGUGCUUGUGUGUGUGUGUGUUGUAGCUUGUAUGUGUAGCUUGUAUGUUUAUAGCAUACAUAUGCUUGUGUGUACAUAUGUGGGUAUGACUGUAAUCACUUUCUUCCAAACCAAAAUCACCCAAAAUGAUGCAAAAGUCAAUCAAUCUAGUUCAAGUUAUUUGAUGAAUUAACUUGGCUAAGAACUAAAAUUCUAAAAUGAUGUUGCAAGAUAAGUAUAAAGAUGUAAUUCUAACAUAAAAUAUCUUUGGAAACAACAUUCAAGACUCAGUAUGCUAUUUUGUAAUCCAACUGAGUAUAGCAUGCCUAACUUAAACUAAAAUAGGAUGAUAUAUUUCAAGUAGAUAUUUGAUAAGCCAAAUAUACCAGUUCUGUCCUUUAAAGAAACUCAUGUGAUUAGAUGAUUGUCCCAUUUGUUAAAAAUUUUCAUGAAAAUUUAUUAAGGGUCCUAUUUUAUUUUUACUACUUUUAACUUAUAUUAAGCAAAGGAUACUUUAAAUAUAAGUUUAUAUCUUCUGUCUGGUUCCUCAAAAUGCUGAAUUUUUAAUUUUCAGAAAUUGCUGCCCUUUUUGCCAUUAUUAUAUAGAAAAUAAACCGCUGCUGUUCAGAGUUCUGUUAGUUCACACAAAUUGUAGUUUAAUUUAAAAAAUACGUGUCCAUGUUCACUGUUAUAAAUGGGUAUUCCCCUGCAUUAUUUUGUAGUAGAAGAGAAAUUACAAUUCUUGAAUGUGUGUGUGUGUGUGUGUGUGCUAUUACAAUAUACCCUAUGAAGUCUGUGUUCAUUAUUUCAUACAUCAAGUGUCAAGGAUUAUUUCCAAAGAUCUCUGAGCACAUGGUAAGCUUAAGCAAGAACAUUAUGGUAAUAUAAAAAGCUAGAGGAUAUUUAUAAUUCUAUAAAGACUGCUCAUUACUCAAACCAAUCUAAUCAGUAUUUGUGAUGUAAUAGAUGAAAAUCUAUUAAUAGCCAAGCAGGGUUCAGAGAAUCACAUUACCUAAAUCAGGCUAAGAAUGGAAUAACCAUUGUAAUUUAAACCUCACAAGCACACUUAUAGGGAAGUAUUAUUACGCUUCUUAAUAGAUGAAUAAAUGAAGGCUCAAACAUGACCAAAUCACAGUGCAAGAAAGCGGUAGAGUUGGGAAGCCCAUCCAACUGAACCCCUCUGACAAUGGCUACGCAUAUCAACAACCCACCCCAACUUCUGGCACAGCUGCUCUCUAGCAAGCAUGGUAACUAUCCCAUAACCUGUGCCUUCAGCACCACUUCUGUGGGCAUAACCCUCAGCAGGCAUUCCUGAUAAAUCUUUGACUCCUGCUCUACCAGCUGCUCUUAGACCCUUUCUGGCUGGCCCCUGAGACCCAAGAGACUUAUGAGGAUCCAAUCAACUGAGAGGACAUUAUUUGAAAACACUUGAAAGGCUAUAAAGUGCUCUAGACCUGUAAGAGAUUCUUUGUAAUGCUUUUCUUUCCCCCCCACCCUCUUGAAGGGUUUUUGUAGAUCCCAUUAGAAUUGUACCAGGAGGACUUGCAAGAUGUUGAGACAUUGAAAGGAAAACCUCUUUUUUUCCAGAUGUCAAAAGAGCCAUAGAAAAAAUAUUUAGAUCUGAAUAAUUACCUUGGCAAAUAUUACUAUUUUAAGGAUCAAUGACAUCACUCUUCAUUUCAAUGUAAUCAUUCAAAUAAAAAUAAAUUGAAGAAAAAAAUCUGCAUUUGAGAUAGGGAUCUGGUGGGGUUAGAGUUUGAUGAAAUUAGGUAAUAAAGCAGUAAUUCCAUUUCUAGGACACAUUUUCAUUUUACCCUUUUAUGUGCAUGUUCCAUGUGAACAUUGAAAUCCAGAUGCAUACUAAUUAGUAAUUAAUAUUCAUCAACUUGUGUAACAGUCCUCAACAUAAUGUUGAUUAGCUGUAGGUAUUUAUAGUGUCAUGAAUAGCUAGUUAGAGAAAUGCAUCAUUUUCAUUAGAAUUGCAUUAUGUUCCAUAGGGAAAUUUGUAUUCUGAUACCAAGAAAAUACAAUAAUGUUUUUGAACUCCACACUUCAGGAAAUUGAAUGUAUUUGUUCAUAUACCUGACAAGUAGUCAACAUCAGCAAAAUUGAAUGGAUAAUGAAAUAUCUUCCAAAGAGUUAUUUUUUUAGCCUUAUCAUCUUCCUUGUUUUUUUCAUCCAUGAGAGAAAUUAGUCUGUCAACAAGCGUUUUGAACUCGUUAGCCUUGUGCUAGGCCAUGGGAAUACAGAAAUUGUAACAACUCUCUAGGUCCUAUCCCUUCUUGGCUUCUCAAGGACAAAGCCCUGGCAGUUGUCCUUUGCCUCUCCUGAAUCCUAUUGUUUCUUUCUAUUAAUAUUCCCAUCAACUUACAAACACGCCGAUGUAAUAAAAGCAUUAUACCCUGCCUCAGAAUUCCCUGCUCCUAUGUGCAGCUUUAUUUUUCUCUAUCACCUUCCUUGAUGCCAUUGUCCUAUUUCACUUUGGCCUGUCAGCAUUUGACCCAGUCGAUCAUUGCUUAAUUCUUGGCUUUUAGGACAUCAUACUCUACUAAAUUUUUCUUUUCCUUCAUAGACAUCUCCUUCUUUGUCUUCUUUGUUAGUGAAAUCUACUAUCACUGACACUUAAAGUGUAGAAUUCCCAGGGUAUUCUCCUAAGACAUUUUCUCUUUUCUACUUCAGUUAUAUACUUGGUGAUCUCAUCCAGUCCAUGGUCCUAAAUUCUUCUAAUAUGCCAACAACUCCCAAAUUUAUGUCCAUGGCACAGCUCUCUUCCCUGAAUUCUUGGUUAAUGAAAUUGAUGUCUCUACAUCCCCAUUUAGAGAUAAAUAUCUCAAACAUAAUCUGUCUAAAACUAAAUUCAUGAUAUAUCUCCAUGAAAGUAGCUCAUCUCACAAUCUACUCUAUUUCAGUAAUUGGCAGUUACUGGGGCCAGACACAUUAAACUGAUCCUUUACUUUUUAUCGCCUCACACUAUACUUUCAAUCAUGGAUCAAAUCUUGUUGACUCUACCUGCAGAAUACACUCAAUAUGGACCAUUUCUCACAUCCUUUGUUGCUGCUGCCCAGGUCCAAGACAUCCUCGUUUUUCACUUGAAUUGUAGCCUCCAAACUAUACUGCUACCUCUUUAGCAUACGACCUGUUAAAAUGUAAAUCAGAUCAUGAACUUGCCUGCUCAAAAACCUCCUAUAGUUCCUCCUCUAACUCAGAGAAAGACCCAAGAACACUGUACCCACACAGUCUAGCUCCUAUUCACUCUGACAGUGUCUUAUUUCCCUCUCACUCCAUGCCAGCCAUGGUGAUAUCAUGACAAUGUUUUGAUCAAUUAAGUAUGAUCCCACCUCUCUUUGCACGUGCUGUUCUCUUCACUGGGCAUGCUUACCUCCCAGAUAUCCUUAUGGCCUGCUUCCUUACUUUCUUCAGAAAAUACCAACAUUUUGGAGUUCCCACUGUGGCACAGUGGUUUAAGAAUCCGAUUGUAGUGGCUCACAUUACUGUGGAGGCACUGGUUCAGUGCCCAGCUGUGCCUCAUGUAACCUCCAUGUGCCAUGGGCACAGCCAUAAAAAAAUUAAUAAGGAUUUUGUGAUCUCUCUAUUUAAAAUUAUACCUCUUCAUAAUUUCUUCUUCCUAUGUGCUGCUUUAUUUUUUCUUUAUUAUAACUAUCACCACCUAACAUAUAAUUAACUUGUUGACUUUGUUUCUUGACUGCACUUUAAUGUACGCUCUGUGAGAUCAGAGAUUUUGUUGUCUGCUUCAUUGCUAUAUCAUAACUUCUUAACACCAUAUGUA
Molecule: non-coding RNA, 5011 nt
Organism: Sus scrofa (pig)
Lineage: Eukaryota; Metazoa; Chordata; Mammalia; Artiodactyla; Suidae
Source: RefSeq, a predicted model, not a curated record